UACGUAGGGAGCGAGCGUUACUCGGAAUCACUGGGCAUAAAGGGCGUGUAGGCGGGUGCGUAAGUCCGUUGUGAAAUCCCUCGGCUCAACUGGGGAAUUGCAGUGGAUACUGCGUGUCUUGAGUGUGGGAGGGGAGAGUGGAACUCUUGGUGGAGCGGUGAAAUGCGUAGAUAUCAAGAGGAACGCCGGUGGCGAAAGCGGCUCUCUGGCCCACUACUGACGCUGAGGCGCGAAAGCUAGGGGAGCAAAC
This 250-nucleotide ribosomal RNA is filed under the name uncultured bacterium. Its description in RNAcentral is "partial 16S ribosomal RNA". It matches the Rfam family "Bacterial small subunit ribosomal RNA", at positions 524 to 773 of the family's 1533-position model. The record is from RNAcentral.